ACGACGCCCCCCAUUUCGGAGCUCCUCCUCGCGAUUCCAAUCCCCGCACGUCUCCUCCGCCUCCGCCUCGCGCAGGGUUAGGGUUUGCUCUGCUCCCCAUCUUGUCGCUUUUGUUUUUUUCCUGUGAGAUUUGGUAGGGAAGGCCUGAUCUGUGUCUUCCGGUGCCUGAUUCAGCGUCUCUUGAUCGAUCUGCGCGGUUUUCUUGUGAUUUUUUUGGGGUGUUGAUUCGUUGGUGCGGGGAAUUCCACGGGCCGUGGAAUCGCGAAGGGGACGGGCGCUUCGAGGUUCGUGUGUUGAUUCGGUCUUCGGUUGGGGGUUUCUUCUGUUCAGGUUGAGUCUUUUGGGUGGGGAAAUGAAAACGCGUUCUUGUUUUUUUCUUCUUCUUAUUUUUUUUAAAAAUUGUAUGAAGGUUGUUUCUCUUGUCCAAACGAUUAGGCUUUACCUGUCUUUUUUUUGUCUGAUUUUUUAGAGUUCGUAGCGCUGCUAAAUGUUACUAGUGAUUCAAGUGUUUUAUUCCAUGGAAAUCGUGCGUAUCUAGUUGUAAGCGGUGGAUUAGUUAAAUUACUUGGCAGAUUUGGUGCAUAUUGUCCUCGAUUUGCAUCACCAUGGUUUUUUUUUACAAAGAUUGGAAUUGAUAUACCCUGAUUUGUUUAGGAAUGUCGUUUUGAUUUGUAUUACACAACGUAUUUUGUGAUAGUGGCUUCCGCGAUGCUCUCCCUAAAAAUUAGGAUCUCGUUUCAUCAAGUACAACAUCUGCAUGACUUAUAUUUGCUGAAGUGACAAAUCGUGUGGUUAUUUACAUCGAUUGUUUAAUGUGCAGCUUAUAGUAGUCAUGGAACACAAGGAGGCGGGCUGCCAGCAACCCGAGGGCCCAAUCCUAUGCAUCAACAACUGUGGCUUCUUUGGCAGUGCGGCCACCAUGAACAUGUGCUCCAAGUGCCAUAAGGAGAUGAUAAUGAAGCAGGAGCAGGCCCAGCUAGCUGCCUCCUCCAUCGAUAGCAUUGUUAAUGGUGGUGACGGUGUGAAAGGCCCUGCCAUAGCUGCAACUGCCGAGGUGGUGUUUGCUCAAGUUGAGGAGAAGGCAAUUUUUGUGCAGCCUCCAGUUGUAGCUGAAACCAGCGAGGCUGCUGCUGUAAUCCCCAAGGCCAAGGAAGGCCCGAACCGGUGCGCAACCUGUAGGAAGCGGGUUGGCCUGACGGGAUUCAACUGCCGAUGCGGUAACAUGUACUGUGCGGUGCACCGCUAUUCCGACAAACAUGACUGCCACUUUGACUAUCGGACUGCAGCUAGGGAUGCGAUUGCCAAGGCCAAUCCUGUGGUGAAGGCGGAGAAGCUCGACAAGAUCUGAGGGGUAAUGGGGAGCGGAAUUGGUUAUGAUCUGCAAGAUUCAGUCAUGCAUCUUUGCUGCUUUAUCAUUGAACUUCCCAUUCUUGUUUGCUGCCACAUCCCCGAGUUGUUCAACACUGAUGCACAUGCAUCCUGGCAGCUGCAAGAAUUCAUCCCCAGUCGAGUCCAAAAUGGUUUGCGUGUUGGCUAUGUUGUGUAAGCUUAUUCAGUUAUUCAUGGUGGUUUGGUUGGUAUUGUGGCAUUCCCAUUUAGGUAGCUCUGUAAUGUACUACUGUCUCGUGCGUGUUACAUCCCAAUCAGUAAUAGUAAUCAGCAAUGGUCUGCCAUAUUUCCUCGCAAUUUUCUGGUUCUCUUCUUUUCAUGUGCGCUUGUGAAUUUCAUUCAGAGCAAUGGGGGCAAUUGCUCAGAUGUUUGAUAUUAUCUGAAGUUUUGAUGUGUGGAGCUAUUGACCAAUCAACUGUUCUUGCUUCGUGCUCUCUGAAGUGGAAGCAAUCAGCUUCCGCUGCUUGCAUGAAGUGGGAUUGUUGUGGAUGAACACUGCAUUUUAAAAUCAUGUAGCAGCCGAGAGAGCUGUGGAUGGAGCUUUAUUGUUGGGUAUGCUGAUUCUUUAUUACAACACAGUCUAUGCAAACGCAAUUACUUGGUGCAAACACAGUCAAUUCAUCAUGAUCUAUUUUGGAAAAUCCUGUAAACAAAGGAACUUGCUUGCAUGGUUUCCACAAUUCUUAUCCUUCUCUCUUUCUAGUCUGUGCAAGUGGGGACAUGCAGCUCUCCUUUUUACAUGUGAUUGGUACGAAGCCUAAUUUGUUUUUGUAUGAUUGUCACCUGCAAAGAAUUGGAACAAGUCUAAACAACUUGUUUUUGUAUGAUUCACUUGCAAAGAAGAUAAUUCGUACGAAAAAAAUAUUCUUCUGCAUGGGGGGAAUAUUUUUGCUCCUCAAUUUGUGGGUGGGUCUCUUCAGACAUCAUGGGAACAUUGAGCAACUCUUGUGCCGGGUGUUGAGCUGCGAUGGAUUAAAGAACGCAAGCAAUGAUAUAGGUUCUGUUUGGAUCCACUAGCUAUAUUUGAGCUGGUUAAAUUUAACUGCUAUGGAUGCAAAUAUGAUCUAACUAGUUUAAUUUUUUGUAGUUGGUUGAACCCAGCUAAACCAGUAAAAGAUGAAAUUGCCUCUCAACCUUCCCCGAGAAAAGUUUUUAAAGUGGGAGGGAGGGAUACUAUAGACGAAUACCUCUUCUAUAUAGACGAAUACCUCUUCUAGCUAGUGGAUCCAAACACCUUUAACUAAAGUAGCUAAAAGAAAGUUUCUAGAGUUUAGUUAGGUGGAUCCUAACAGGGCUAGGACCAUAGAAGCCUGAUCGCCUUGAGAUUCCUUGUUUGUUUAUGGGAGAAUGGAUAGGAUCUCAGCUUUGUCGUCCUCCCAUCCCAGUAGCUGGAGAUGUAUUUUAUGGCACUAGCUGUUGCUACCUGCUCUGAUCAGUUUACUAUAAAACUGCCAUUAUAUUGUAGAGUAUGUAACAGCCUGAAGAAAACAUUUGCAGAGCUCAGCAGCAACCAUGGGGAUUACCUAGUUGCAAAUAAGACACCCAAUGGCACUUCUUUUUUACCCAGCCAGAACUGAGCAACCCGGAUUCAGGGCAAAGAGCAGAUCACUUCAGGACGAAACAUUUAGCAACACCUUCAGUUACCGAGAUACAUAAGGUGAACAAACUCAUCAGCGGUGUCUUCAGCUGCGAAAAAUUCACAUAAUCUCAAGUAACUUUCUCACUCAAGAAAGGACCGAAGAAGCGCUGUGUGGAUUGCUCGGUAUUGCAGUAAGUGAAUGUAUAUGAGAGGGAUACACAUGAAACAGCUCAUUUCCUCUUUAAUUGUCUGUUCUAAACUACAGUGUAUGAGAAGAAAGAGGCCGUGCAUUAUUCUGUAUUUUUUCUACUCCAAGUGUAAAUUUGGGGACUCAGCCCCCAAUGUUGAAGUAAACCGUAUAGAAUUCGUCCCUCAAGCUGUACAGUGGCUCCAGGAUGAAGUUCCUCCUCACUCCCUUUGCGAUAAAGCUGAUUGGAUGGUACUGCCUCAGUGGGGCAGUCUGCACAAAGCUCGCCGCCUGCUCGAGUAUCCCACCAAUGCUCUGAAGAGAGCUCUUGCAGCUGACCUGAAUCUUAGUCUCUGCAGAGUAAUCCACGCCUGUCACCAAGAAGCACCCUGGUUUGGUCCCGAGCUCGAGGGAAACUGAAUUAGGAUUUCCAUCGAGCCCGGGUAUUAUGUUGAAGAGGGAAUCUGAACCCUUCUGCGCGGAUAGGGUGAGGUUGUUGGUGAUCACAGUUCCUGGCAAGUCAAAUGGCUCGAUCAGCACGGAAGCUCCCUUCAUGGUUGUGCUGUAUGUGUCAUGCAGCUCCGUUGAGUCCUGAGGGUGUGCCCUGAAUGUUGCGUGGAUGGCGAUGUCGGUGCCGUCAACUUCAGGUCGCUCUUGCAUUGUUAGGGAGCCAUUUGCGCUUGAGAGGACAAAUGUUUUUCCAUUGGAUACUUGUGUGAAGGUUGCCAGCUGUGAGUUGUACACUGAAGGAACAGUGGUGAUCCAAUCUGAAAUUGUACUGCUAUUGCCAACUUUUGCAUCCCAGUCACCAGUGGAUAGGCCAGCAAGAACAAAUGGCCCAAAUAGGAUGGCUUGAAGGGAUGCAUACUCCGGCCUGUCAUCUGAACAGAUAGCUAGCAAUUAAUAUUGGAUCAAGUUCCUCAAAAAUAUUUGGAUCAAGAUUCUCUCUGUACAAAAAUCUGAAUAUUAUCACACAUCGUAGCAAAAUCCGUUAUUUCUACUAGCGCCCCUAUGUUUUUGUAGUAUAAGUGUACAACCACUGGUUAUCAUGGUGGUAUAUCAGUGUGCGAGCCAAGUAAAGUCAGCCAAUUUGUUCUUCAAUCUUAAAUUAGUCAACAGUGGAAGUAUCAUGAGUUACCUUUAAUUGCUUCAGUUCUUAACCUGAUGGGAAAGCGUAGUGAUAAGUGAUCCUCUGAGUUCCAUUGUUUGGUGACUGAGAGGAAAGAUCCUGCCCAUAAAAUAACAUAAGGUAAUGAACUGGGCUUCAAAAAUCGAUGAUAAUUUGAAUAUUGAACAGAAUGGAAUGAUUUUACCUGGAGAUAAUGACCCCAAAUCUUUGCCAUUUAGAUUUGCUCCUGCACCAUCAGCAAAUGUCCAUGAUGGAAUUCUAACAUUCAAUUUGGCAGACUGACUUGUCGUCUGAACAAAUAGCAAACAAAUGAGCUGAGUGAAGAUGUUUUUUAUCUGAAUUCAACGUAUAAAGAAUUGAAAAUAAUUACCUCUGCAGAAAUGGAGAGUGAAAUUUGAAGAUACAGGUCAGAAGAACUGAGGGUUUUGAUUUGCUGAGUAACAGUGAGCCCAGCUGCUUUCCAGUUGAAAGUGCUUGGUAUGUACUGAAUGAUGUUGAGUGCAGGUGUAUCUUCUUUCUCCUCAAAGUAAAUAGAAUCGCCAAGUUUUGAAAAGGAUUCUAUACCUGCACAUGGAAAUCAUUAUAUUUUGAAAUAAACAACUUGCUCGAGAAUAAAUGCGACCCCAACGUUCACAGCUUGAGGCAAUAAAGCAGAAAGGUUAAAAAUGAAGGGGCUAGACACUGCCUUUAGCUUAUGGAAUCAAAAUUGGAUAGAAACAGUUGGUUGAAAUCAAGCAGAAUAUUCACAUCAAGGCAAUAAAUAGAUGUUGCAAUUUUUGUAUUACCUGUCCCAUAACAACACCAGAAAGAAUCGUACUUUGUUCCCCAACCAUGAUAACUCACAGCCUUAGAGUGUCCAGGGGCCUGGGGUAGCAUGUAAAUCAUCACACCAGGAUCUGUCCCCCUUUGAAUGCUUAAAACACCAUUUAUCAGUGCUCUUUCAUAGUAAUCUGCAUAUGAUAUUUCCUUUGUCCAUCGGAAUAGGUUGCGAGAUAUCUGGAUAUGACACAGGUUUACAUAUGACACAUUUCUAAACAAGAAAACAAUUUUUUAGUAUGGUUUCACAACCUUAAGCAUGUUGUAAGUGGUGCAAGAUUCCUCAUUCUCAGUACUCAGAGUCUCAGCUAAAUGUUUUGGGUCAGUCCUGAAAAACAAUUAAGAGAAUCAGUUCCUUGCCAAAUAUAACUUUCGAUAUACUAUGGAAGUAUUGAUGCCAUUAAUCAAGCAUCUACAAGCUAUAUUACCAGAAUUCACCAGCAGAUGUGCCACCAGUCGCGUAGCUAUGAGAUGAAUUUAUUGUAUCCAUAAAGAAUGUGGCAAUUUGCUGUUUCAAAAAUGAGGCUUAUGGUCAACUUCACUCAAAUGGUGGAGAACAAAUGAUAAAAAGAAGACAGAAGAUGGUACUACUUCAGACACAGAGACGCAGAUACUCAUAGGCAAAAGGCUAAAAUGGAUGUAAAGGAAAGAAACAUAUAAAUCCAAAGAGCUGUGCUAAACACGCAUAAUGUCAGCAUAUUUCAAAAAAUUGAAAACAGUUUAUCUUAAUCCAUUCGGAAUUUUAGUAAUAACAGCAAGAGUCAUACAUAUCUUAAUUUUUAUUAACCCAUUUUUCCUCUUCUGAACAGUAGUCAGUGUCUUUAUGUAAACUGAUAACAGCAUGCACUUUAUGUCCGCAUCCCCUAACAGAUUCCUCACUGUCUAUGAAAAUGGAAUACUUCAACUCUGUAGUAAUAAAUUUCGCAGUGAACUUUACCUUGUAAAGAGGAUCUCCGGUAACUUCAUACCUCAUCUGUGCACCAAUGACAACUGGAAUGUGUGUAUUGGAAUGGAAGCCUGAAAUGCUGUCAGCCUGAAAUGAAACAAAUACACAAACAACGCUAUCACUAAACGAAAAAUCCCUCGAGAGGAACAGUAAUUCUAGUCCAUCGAUUGAGUCCUGUACUAGGAACCCAAGUUCAAUUUCCAUGAAAGUGUACACUUUACAUGGUAAUACCAGUUCAGUAGUGGCAUAAUUAAAAUCUGUUCGAUAUAUAGACAUGUAGUGACCACUGGAUGAUAAGCAAAUUGAACUGAAGUUAGUAAUCACAAUUCUUAACAUAGUUAAAACUGAAACUGGUUAAGUUCUAUUUCAGUCAUUUAUUGUAAUGUAAACAUAAUCCUAGCUAUCACCAAAUAGCUGAAGAUUCACAACUAGCAAACCAAAUCAGUGUUUCAGCACACCUGAACUGCAAGCAGCCCAAGAAAGCAUGGCUUAUCGAAGAGAUGGGCCAGUGUCAAAUGCUUCAGAUCAUUCUGCCCAAUUAAGAGAAAGUCAGCAUAUCAGCUAGAUAUAACUGUAUUAAUCGAUGCUACACUUGUAACAAACGGCAAAUCACCGUUAUUGUGUAGAGCUGAUAGAGCACAUCAUUCAUCCCACCAGUUUCCUCAUUGAGAGACUCCCAGUGCCUCUCAAUGCUGUAUUUCUGUAUGACAUUCUUCACCCGAUCACUGAAAUAAUUAGCCAUCUUUACCACCAUGUCAAGAGCCUUGGAAUUCCCAGCCACCGUGUACUGAUCAAGAAGGCCUUGCAUAAUCUGUAAACCAAAAAUUAGACCCACUCAAAUUGGUGAUGAUCAUUCAUUCAUUGCACAAUCUGUAAACCAAAAAUUACACCCACUCAAAUUGGUGGUGAUCAUUCAUUCAUUCACAUAUUUAUCAUGAAGUAGAAACUGAAAACCCCCAUGAACCUUGUGGAUUGUGUAGUAAGGGGCCCAGACAGGCCUGAUGGCCUCAACCCAAUCGAAGAAUUCCGACGGGAAGGCCGACAGGUACCCUGUGCCCAUCUUCUUCUGACAAUCAUAGAGCGCGUCGACGACAGACGACAUUUUCACAUUAAGAGUAUCAUUGUGUGUGCUAGCCCACAUCUUUGCAGUAGCACUCAGGUAAUGCCCUGAAAAGAACAACGGCAGGACGCUGAAAUUCAGCCUAGCUGCGAAAUUGUAGUGGGUAAAUGCUACAGAAUCGAAAUCAAACUGAGAUGCGGUGGCGCACCAACAAAGUGACCCCGGAGCUGGACGUUAGGGCCCUCCCACCCGCCAUAGGGCGUUCCCGGCGCCGUCAGGCCGGCUUGCUUGCGGAAGCUCCAGACGAGGCGGUCGACGUCCAGGAGGAGCAGGUACUCCAGAUUGGUCUGCUGUGCUUGCCAGUACGGGCUGCCCGGCUCAAGCCGCACGUCGUGCAGGGAGGCCUCGGAGAGGAACGCCCCGGCCGCAACCCCGGGCCGCGGCGCGCCGGCGGUGGCGCCCCGGAGCUUGCGGUAGAGCAUGAGCCAGUCGAACGCCUCCUCGCGCCGCAGAGCCCGCCGUGGCAUGAGCGACAUCCAGGCGGACUCGUCGGUGGGGGUGAGGUGCUGCUCGUGGCCAUGCUCAUGGGUGUGGCGACCGUGGUGGCUGCGCUCGGGCACCGGCGCCCGCGGCGCGGACCGCAGCUGCGUCGCCGCGCGCUCCGUGUGCGACGUCAGCCCCGGGAACGCGUUGGUGCACGACUUACCCUCCGCGCCGUGCCAGCCGGCUGCGGCGGCUAAGAUCACCACGGCCCCCAGCGCCGCCGCCGCCGGCAUGCCCGGCCCUCUCGCCAUAACCAACCCCCCUUUCUUGGCAAGAACCACUCGUUACCCUGUCCUCAGUUGACCGACACACACCGCAUAAGCGAAAGCCUCCAAAAACCCAAACCUGUAACCUGUGAGAAGGGCGAGGAGGAUAAGAUUAAGCAUCACGAAAUGGUGACAGCGCAUCAAACUACCAGUGAUUCAACCAAGAAUUGCGCGGAAAGCAAUUCAUACGAGGGGAACAAAGAUCGGAGGGAGGAUUGAAGAAGACGACCUCGACUCACUUCACUGGAGUGAGACUGUGACAGUGAUGUUUACUGUUUCCGUCUCGAGAGGAAGGAGGAGAAAUUGCUCCUUUUUCGCCGGGGACGGAUCAACGGAAUAGGGGUGGGCGACAAAUGCGCAUCGGGAGAGCGACGGUUUAUAUCAGAGGAUUCUUGGACCCCAAGAGCCGCAAGGCGACGCCAUCAUCACCCAUCCAUCAUCUACCGGUUCGUCCCAAUCCACCAUGGCCGUCGCCCGCCGCUUGCUUGCACGCCACCGCCGGCCCGCCGCACGGCAGCAAGUGGCGCAUCGGCAUCACGUCGGAGAGGUAAAAGCUUCUCUGCCCUUUUCAGACCCAAGGGCAGAGACGGCAACUUGGCAGCGGAGCUCGCAACCGAAACCGGAGAGCGGAUGCGUCAGGGUAAAACCUACCCUGUUGGUGGAUGGAUCACCGGAUUGAGCUGAACUUGCAACUGAACACUCUCGGAGAUUCCCUGAUCUUGUCAUGCUUCUGCCGUUUGCAGGACACGGCAUUGCAUGGCAUCUAACCGAUCCUGUGUUCCGGCUCAGCCUCAUCUGUUCGAUGUGCAGAGGCCGAUGCAGCAGACCCCAGAGGCGUGCUGCGUGCAUAUCCAUCGAUUGAUAGAUCCAUUUCCUUCUGACAAUAGAAUCAUCGUGCGCAUAGACCACACCUGCAUGCCAAGACAAUGUCACAUGGAUGAAUAGGAUGCGAAGUGAUCGAUUGUUGUGUCAGUUUCAGAAGGCCGAGUGGCAGCAUGUUGUCGGUCAUGUUCUAUACUACCUCUGAUGGGCCUUGAGGCGAGAGCAAUAUCUCCGCCCUCCCAAGAACAGAGGAUGCCCAAGCUCUUCUGAAUACCACCAAACAAGCUCCCUUAGGAUCCAUGCUGAAAUCGCACAAGAUAUACCAAACAAAAUGUGUUCAAGCUCUUCUUAAAACAUAAAAUGAAAAUCAAAAGAUUUUUGGGCGAGAAUGGGAACAACGGUAAUCAUCCUUGAAGUCGACCCAAACUUUUGACUAGUUUCCAACCCCAAUCAUUGCCGAUCCAGGCCCAAAUCUAGCCCACCUCAGGCACCCGCAAUGGUUAAAGAGGGUUUGCUCUCUGUUACUUGUCUACCAGCCCUGUUUGGAUAUCAUAUGCUAAAUUUUAGUACAGUGUUAAAUUUUAGCACCCUCAAAUAAAAGGUUAAAGUUUAGCACCUUGGGGUGUUUGGAAAGGAGGCUAAACUUUAACACCUGGGUUGACAAAAGACUCAUUUAUCCCCACUUUCUUCCUUUCUUUCUCCUCUCUCUCCUCCUCUUCUCUCGCUCUUCUCCCCACCUUCCCCAGCCGCACCGGCCUCCGUGCCCCUAGCUGCCCUCCCUCCCCCGCUGGGAGGUGGCGGCCGCGCGGCCAAGCUCCUCUCCCUCCCUGCGCCAGCAAAAUCACCUCCGGGCGUCGCUCCUCACCCUCCUCCCCCGGGUCAGAGCCACCGCCGCGCGGCAAGGACUCCUCCUCCACCGGUCCCGCCCCGCUCCCGACGGCAGAGAGGUGCUCCCUCGUCGCGCAGCGCCGACUCCCUCGUCGCGCGCCUUGCUGACGGGGAGGACGGGCCGGCCGUGGCCCUGCACCGAGAGAGGGGGGUGCGGAGGCGGCAUGGCCGGCGGAGGCAGCGGGGGCGGCGGAGGCGGCGUGGCCGGGUGGAGGAGGCGUCGCCGGCAAAUGCGGUGGGGCCGGGCGGAGGAGGCGUGGCCGGCGGAGGUAGCGAGGCCGGCGGAGGAGGCUUGGCCGGCCGAAGGAGGAGAGAGAGGGGGGUGGGGGGCAACCAGGGAAAUUUUAGAUAGGGGACCACUUUUAGCACCUAUUUGAUGUGCUAAAAAAAGUGGGGUGCUAAACUUUAGAACACCACUUUUAGCACACCUGUUUGGGAGCUCUAGUGCUAAAAGGGUGCUAAAAGUGAGGUGCUAAAGUUUAGCACCCCUCUUCCAAACAGGGCCAUAAUAUUUAUAGAUCCAUCACUUAGCGGAUUAUCUGUAGUAUUUAUUGCUAAGUUUCGUGGGUCGUAUAGUAUUUUUUUAGUCCUCCUACUCUUCUCUCUCUCCUCCUUCCCCAUCCCCCACACCGACAACUGCUUUUCCGGCUGACCUUGUGAUGAGAACAUUACCUGCUCGGAUACAACCAUAUUAGCAACUUUUGAUUCACAGGUAAAAUAAUUCUUUGAAAAUUCAUUUGAUGAAUUGAUGCUACACCAUGAUGUGUGUUUAUUGUCAUUUGAUACGUACGUGGAUCAAAACGAGUGUUAAACACACAUCGAAGGCAUGGAGGACCAAAGAAGUUGAUUAGAUUCCAAGUCCAAGUAUUCCCAACGUCCUCCACUAGGCCACCACGUCACUUUUCGCCCAAGAAAAGAAAGAGAUCAAAUUCAACACGUUUUGGGGCUGAAUUCAGACUACAAGCACUGCGCCAAAUUGCAACGGCCGACACGACCUCAUCCAAGCUCCGUUUUGGGCGUUCAAGUACUCCUUGGAAUUCUUAUGAAGUCUAUUUUCAUAUGGAUCUAGACUCAUGUUUAUAUAUUUUCUGAGGCGGUCGCAAUGAUCAAAUUACUACCGAGAGAUUUUUCUGUCAAAGGUGCUGCGUUGCCUUAUUUUGGUCCAAUGGGCCUUGUAUCAAUUCGGGUCCAAUAAGGACGUGUCCUAGGGUUGGAGCACGACACCAGGACCCCUAUGGUCGUCCUCCUAGGUAUAAAUAAGGUUUAGAGCCACCACAAACAGAUUGAGUUUUGUUUAGAUGUAAGUUUAGCCAUUGCUACUUCCUUGUAGACGCGUGUGUCGACUAGACCAUCCGUUCUACUUGAUUCAGAAUCCCAAAUUUGUAAUUUUAGAUUGGUUUUCAUCUCCAUAUUUGCAAUUGAGUUGCUUGUUCUACUUAUUCUUACUUAUUCCUCGAUUGCUUGCAGGAAUUACCCUAGUGGUUUGAUUGAUCGUGCUCCACGAGAUCGCGGCGACCAUUGAAGAUGGUGUAUCGGUUGCUAAGACGCAGCAUCCUUGGAUGGUUGUAGUCGGGGCUGUGAACGUCACCGCGCGCUCGAGCCGGCGGAGUGGCGGAGCCACGAUAGCUCGACGGCCCCAGCUGCGCCCCAUCCACCUCCUGCACGGCGGCAUGACCAUGCUCCGUCACAUCCUGCACCGACCACCACGCAGCCACGCUCCUCCCUGCUUGCGCCACCUCGUGCUGGAGCUACCGUCGCCACACCGGGCGCGCUCCGCCCGCCCCCGCACCGCUGCUGCGGUCUUCUGCCCCUCUGCCGAGCUCCACGCUCGUAGCGUGCCUUGCUUGGUCUCGCUCCACACCGACACCGGGCCCAGCAUAUCCGGCCACCACAUACGCGUACCCAUUGCUAGGCCCCUGACACCCGCACCGCUGUGCUCUUCCUGCUCCCUAGGCCCCACACAUCAGUCUCCGAGCAUCUGCUGCCGAAUCAGAUCUGAGAGCGAGCAGAGGGGAUGCGAGCGGCCGACCGGGGCGGCGGGACAGCGAGCGCAACGAGCUGUUGCAGGCGAGUGGUGAUGUAGAUGGGAUGCAAGGUAAAUCCACCAAUUUGCACAGGUUAGGGUCUGUUUGGGAAGGGGGUGUUAAAGUUUAACACCCCACUUUUAACACUUUUUAACACUUUUUUAUCCAAACACUUGUGUUAAAAGUGAGGUGUUAAAGUUUAACAGCCCAUUUUUCAUAAACACAUGGAUGAGGUGUUAAAACUUGCUAAAGGUGUUAAAAGUGGUCCCCCUCUCUACUUUUUCCCAGGUUACCCCUUCUCUCGCCUCCCUCUCUCUCCGCCGGCCAUAAAUGAGGGGGCAAUGGAGUCAUUUCUCACCAAAGGUGUUAAAGUUUAACACAUCAUCCAAACACCCCAAUGUGUUAAACUUUAGCACUCUAUUUGAGAGUGUUAAAACUUUAACACUUGUUGAAUUUUAACAUAGGGUAUCCAAACAGGCCCUUAAUCUCUGCACCUACCAGAUGCAAAUUUGCCAAAUGUAAUCUCUGCACCUCACGAGCUUGAUUGGGCUGGCUCGAGCCUGGCUCGUGAGCCUAGCUAAGGUCCUGUUUGGCAACACACUCCUAAACUUUAGUACCUGUCACAUCGAAUGUUUGAUACUAAUUAGGAGUAUUAAAUAUAGUCUAAUUAUAAAACUAAUUGCAUAGAUAGAGUCUAAUUCGCGAGACGAAUCUAUUAAGCCUAAUUAGUCCAUGAUUUGAGAAUGUGGUGCUACAGUAACUAUUUGCUAAUGAUGGAUUAAUUAGGCUUAAUAGAUUCAUCUCGUGAAUUAGUAUAGAAUUUCUGUAGUUAGUUUUAUAAUUAGCUCAUAUUUAGUUCUCCUAAUUAGCGUCCGAACAUCCGAUAUGACACUCCUAGUUUAGGAACACCCCGUGAGGCAGACCAGGCUGCCAAACGCCCCCAAAGCGAAGCCACGGCCCACGGCCCCGUCGGCCGUCCGCCACCGUUUUUUUUCCCUCUUCUUCUUCGGUGCAACUCCUACCAGACCGUGCAGCCCCACGCGAUCCAGCUACCACCCGUGGCCGCGCUCGCCGCCUUCCUCGCGCCGCCGCGGAUCCACAAAGGUAUUCUUGGCGUGGUGCUUUCGCUCGUGUCGCGCGCCCCUGGUCCUGUCGCGGCACCCGGCGUGGAUCUUGGCCUGGAUUGUCCCGAUACUCCGCAGCAAAAGCAAGGGUUCCGAGGUGGUUUCGCGGUUUCCUGGCGUCUCCUCUUGCUCGCCGGUUCGUCCCAAGGUGCGGCCUUCUGAAUUCCUCGUACUUCCAAAAUCGAUGUGAUAUGUUCUGUGCGCGCUGGGAGGAGUGCAUCUGAGCACCUGCAUUGCAUCUUCAGGACGCUUGUUAGUGAGCUUAAUUGGAUUUGUUCUAGAUCUACCGCAAUUAUAUGCGUUCAUCCGUGGAAAAAAAUGUUGUUUUCGUUUCCCUGGAUGUCUAGCCUGUGGCUGCUAUACUUGUAUGCGAUGAAAUGAUGCUACAUUAUCCUGAAUUGCUGGCAGGGCACGUGUUAAUUUUUUGUUGCAGGCAUAUCUUGGUGCCCGUGAUUUAAGUGGUACAAUUAAGGCCAGAAGAAUCAGCUUUAUUCAACCAGUGUUUGGAUAUGGUAUCAGCUAACCUUGGGUUGGCACAUUAUGUACUGGAACUCUUCUUCAUCGCACCAAGUUAGGAACACCAUUUUUCUCAAAAGGAUGGGGAGGUACCAAACUUGAUUUGCUAGAGAGCAUGGUGAAGCAGCUGUUCCCUGAAGCACAUUGCCAAAACUGGCCACCAACUGCUGUGCAGCCAAUGUGGAAAACAAUUUGGGAGACAAACAGUUCUUGUCUGCGAGAGGGUGUUUUCAGGACUAAAUGUGAUGAGAGACUAGUCGAUGCAUUGCCCCCUGAAAAUCACAAUGCAGGAGUUGCUUUUCUUACUCCUAAAAACAUUACACCAGAGAAGAUGUCAUGCAUGGUCCAUCUUGCAGGUACAUGAUUUUGUGGUUUCAUUAUAUUUGUUCCCUAAUGCACUGCAUAGAUUAGGAAAACCAUUUUCUGAUAUGAAUGUUUAGCUUGUAUGCAUUUUAAUCAGUUUCUGUUGUCUGGUAGAACGGAUUAUGAACGUAUUAGUCUGCUGGCUUUCUAGCGCUGCCAAGUUUAACAUUCCUCUUUUGACAGCUUCCCUAUCUUUUUUUGAAGAUAAAAAACUUUCCUCACUGCCAAGUGCUAAAAUUGAAUAAGGACUAGUCUCCUUUUACUGUUAGUUUCAUAUUGAUUGAUGAAUAUUGUCACAAAAUUGUUCAUAGUAAAAAAAAACUGCUCCACUCUUUUUCCUAUAAAAAUAUGUCUCCGCUCUCAUCUAAUGAAUCUAAAUUUUCUGUAAUAAUAUAGGCACUGGUGAUCACACAUUUGAACGCAGGCUUUGGCUCGGUGGGCCUCUUUUGAAGAACAAUAUUGCAAAUAUGGUUCUUGAGAGGUGAGAGUUACUUGCAUUCUUUGUUAAAAUAUUUUCUCCACAAUUCACCAAGAUCUGAUCCAUUGAACCACAGCCCCUAUUAUGGACAGUGACGUCCUAGCAUGCAGGGUGGUGCAAAGCUUCAGUGUGUGAGUGGCUUGUUACUUUUAGGGAAAGCCACAAUUGAUGAAGCUCGCAGUCUCCUGUACUCGCUGCAGGCUGAGGCUGGUUACGGCAAGAUGGGCAUAUGUGGGCUCAGCAUUGGUAUGUUAACACUGGUUUUGCUCAUGAAUGAAUAUAGCUAGUCUUAAAAAUAAUGUAGCAGCCUAUUUGUCAAACCCAUCUGAUUCUUAUAAUUUUCUGGUUAUAUUUACAAGGUUCCUUUGACAUUCUUCUCAAAAAAUAAUUCUUUGCUGAUGACACAGGUGGUGUCCAUGCCGUGCGUGAUGGGGGGAUCCCUUCAUCCUACACCAAUUGCUACACCGCCAUUUCUCACUUCGCACUCUGCCGUGGUACCUUUCUGUGAACGGGUCUACAAAUAUGCCACAGCUUGAGAUGUGUUGAGAGAAGAUGCAGCAGCAUUAACUCAAGAUGUAACAUCUUUGACAGAAGAUGCAGCACAGAAAACUGGGGUCACUAUUGAGGAAGUCAUAGAUAGGUUGCGGUCAGUGUUGUCUUUGACUGAGGUCACUCGAUUUCCAGUCCCAAAGAACCCGCAGACUGUCAUCUUUGUUGGUGCAACGGUUAGUGUUUUUUUUUAACCUUUUAACAUCAAUUUAUAAUCUCUGAAAACAUGAUCUCCCCCUCCUCCCCCCCCCCCCCCCCCCCCCCCCCCCCCCCCCCCGAGCCUUUUACUUUGUUUCACGAUUCUGAUAGGUUAACAACGAUCAGAGUAUAUCACUAGUAGACUGGCUAUUUUACUACUAUUACAGUAGGACUUCAGAGUUAAGUCAAAUUGUAUCUUUCACCUGCACUGUUUACAACAAGUUCUUUUUGAGACCACACUGUUUGCAGCAAGUUACCGUAGCACUCCAGCAAUGUUCAGAAAUUGAAACUUACAUUGAUAGCAGAUAGUUUACUCAAGCACUCUUAUCUUCUCAUGUUCAGCAAUGUCUCCUUAUUUCAGACAGAGAUUGCUUACUCGAGUAUUCGUUUUCAGCUGGAGCUUUCUUCUAAUCUGAAGCUAUGUUCCCUUUACAGGAUGAUGGUUAUAUUCCCAUAAUCCCAUACAUUCAGUCAUGAAGCUCCAGAAGGCAUGGCUGGGCUCAGAAGUCCGGUGGGUAACGGGAGGCCAUGUUUCGUCCUUUUUCCUCCACAAUGACGCAUUCCGCAAAGCCAUCGUCGUCGCCCUUGACAGAUUGUAACGUCUAACAAGCUCGAGCCAACAAAAGACCCAUCUUUUUUUUUUUUCAACUCGACCUAACCAUUGAUCAGGUCUAUUAUCACCCUAACAAAAUUCUUGCAAUAUUAUCACCCUAUCAAAAUUCUUGCAAAAUCAAACAACACACACCCUAACUUGUACGAGAACCGGUCAAUUUCUUAGGUGAUUUAACACACUUGGUUAUACUGCAUGCCCACUUAAGAUCAAACUUAGGUCUUACAUCAUGUAUUUCUUAUUAAUACGUUUGUUUUGUUGACUAAUAGGCGAUGCGUUUGUUGAAUCUGCGCAUUUGCAGUGGCUUCGUUAAUCUCAAGAUACGUUUGCUCUUAUGCAUUUACAGGAUGUCAAGGCAUCCUCAGGGCUCGUAGAGUGGAGGAAAAAAAACCGCUUAAGAAAAGUUUCCAUGUUUCACAUGAAAAAUUUAUGAGCUUUAGGUGCAGAUGCCAAAUAGCAAGAAAUGAAAAAUAAAAGAAUUAGAUGAAACAUAUCGUAACCUAGAAACAAUGUCGUAACUCGAUAUCUCGAGCUUAUCGAUCUUUCUCUAAAUAAACUAGCUCUAACACCACUAGUCGAAUCCAGAUCAUACCAGUAUCUUACACAAGUAACUUCAUUUUCUAUGCACCUUUGCAUGGACGCAUGCUCCCACGCGGUGAUGCCGCCAUUACCUAACGUUUAAACUCCCUUUCAAAAGGGCAAAAAAUCGUGGCCUACGCAUGGGGCGGGCAGAGAACCGUGCUGCAACCGGCUGCCUACCAUCACCAUCUGCUUCUCUUUCCUCUCUCUUUCACAAGGCAAUACGUGCUGAGGCAUUAUCUCUCCGCUUUUGCGUAGGAACCCUUUUGAUCUUGAGAAAUUGCCUAAUUGUUCACAUUCCAUUCCAAGACGACUUCAAGGUGGUAAAGUGGCAGCAUGAUCUUAAAGCUCAUAACUGAGACGAUAAAUUUUUUAAGAUAAUCUACACAAUAUAAGAUUAUACGGUACAAAUACUACCAAAUACUAGCUCUUUAGAAGGUUUUUAUUACUUCAUGUAUCAAGUAUCAUGUAUCAAAGGUAGAUUGCUGACCGCGAAUACCACGCGGUAAGGUUUUUAUUACUUCGAUGUUCUCUUGAAGGAACUAACUUAUUUAUGGUUGAUGUGCAGGCUCGCUCUACAAUAACGUUACAAUCCAGUGCCAUUUGCGUUUUACACGCAUCAUAAUGUAUCUUUUGAUAUGCAAGAACUUAAAGGAUAAUUGCAAUAAACAUUCUAUUAAGUGAAAAACACCAAUUUUUUUAAAAGAAAAUGAAUAACUAUCAUGUAAUAUAUAUUUGAGGGGAAAAAAUUGUAGUUAUAACAUUCUAAAAGUUGAUGCACUUAUUACUGUUGUGUUUGCAUAUGUUAUCACAGCUAUGAUAGCUAGAUUCAAAACGAUACUCCCUCCAUCCUAAAUUGUAGAUCAUUGCUAUGCACUUAGGUAUGGUACAUAUUUAGAUAUACAACAAAAAUUAUGUACUUAAAAAAACUAAAAUGACCUACAAGAAAGAAAACGGGAGACUAACAUAAGAGCAUCUCCAGCAGACCCCCAAUAAAUAUUUUCCAAUGCCUAGUUAACAAGGAUAUCCUAAAAUCAUUUUCAUCGUUAUUGGGAGAAUUGUUUUUGCUGUCUCCCAAUAAUCUCAUCCCAAUCCAACUACCGUAUUGGAAGAGUCACAACUCCGCUUUUAUUUAGGGAAAGUUAGGGUGAAUUAUUGGAUUGUCCCAAUAAUUAUUCGGAAAAAGGAAAAGUAAAGGGAGACUGCUGGAGCACUAGUUUUUUACUAACACUUCCGGUACGAAAAAGACCGGUAUUGCAUUCUAGCAGCCAUGGUGUACCGACAUGCUAUAAAAAAGUAUUUUUGGCAUAUUGUUACACGGUAGAAGCUUGUGAACCCAUCAAGUCAUGUAGGACAGUUAUUCAAAUUUCUACCGAUGCCAAAUUUUGCCUUAUAAAAAGAUAGAAACCGGCUUUUUAAAAAAAUAUAGAAACCGAUUACUCCAAUAUUCAAAGUUCACACCAUUUAUAGGAGAAGAAAAAGGACGCUACGCGGCUCCUUCUUCCCCAUCAAGAAAGAAAAAGAUCUCCCCCUCCAAAAUUAUAUAAACCCGCAACCAGCAGGGACCUCACUGAAAAUCCACGGCCGCAUCCAUCCCAUCCGUCCAUCAGCUCACGCCACCGCGAUCGGACGGCGCCUCCCCCACCUCAGCCAGACCACUCCACGCCACCAACCGCAAAUAAUUCGAAAUGGUAGGGGCAAGGAGGUAACUUCCCGUCGCCUCCGCCUUUUUUAUCUGGCUCCCCCACCUUCCUUCCCCUGGCCCAACGACGCCCCCAUUUCGGAGCUCCUCGCGAUUCCAAUCCCCGCACGCCUCCUCCGCCUCCGCGGCCGGCUCGCGCAGGGUUAGGGUUUGCUCUGCUCCCCAUCUCGCCCUGUGCUGUUUUUCUUUCCUGUGAGAUUUGGUAGGGAAGGCUUGAUCUGUUUCUUCCGGGGCCUGAUUCGGCGUCCCUUGAUCGUUCUGCGCGUUUUUCUUGUGAUUUUUUGGGGUGUCGAUUCGUUGGUGCGGGGGAUUCCACGGGCCGUGGAAUCGCGAAGGGAACGGGCGCUUCUUGAUUCGGUCUUCGAUUGGUGGUUUCUUCUGUUCAGGUGGAAGUCCUUUUGGGUGGGGAAAUGAAAACGCGUUCUUGUUUUUUUUUCUUAUUAUUUUUUUAAAUAAAAAUUGUAUGAAGGUUGUUUCACUUGGCCAAAUGAUUAGGCUUUACCUGUCUUUUUUUGUCUGAUUUUUUAAAGUUCGUAGCGCUGCUAAAUGUUACUAGUGAUUCAAGUAAUUUUUUCCGUGGAAAUCGUGCGUAUUUAGUUGCAAGCUGUGGAUUAGUUAAAUUACUUGGCAGAUUUGGUUUAUACUGUCCUCGAUUUACAUCACCAUGGUUUUUUUACAGAGAUUUGAAUUGAUAUACCCUAAUUCGUUUAGGAAUACCGUUUUGAUUUGUAUUACACAGCGUGUUUUGUGAUAGUGACUUCCGCGAUGCUCUCCCUAAAUAUUAGGAUCUUGUUUUGUGAUAUUUGCUGAAGUGACAAAUCGUGUGGUUAUUUACAUCGAUUGUUUAAUGUGCAGCUUAUAGUAGUCAUGGAACACAAGGAGGCGGGCUGCCAGCAACCCGAGGGCCCAAUCCUAUGCAUCAACAACUGUGGCUUCUUUGGCAGUGCGGCCACCAUGAACAUGUGCUCCAAGUGCCACAAGGAGAUGAUAAUGAAGCAGGAGCAGGCCCAGCUAGCUGCCUCCUCCAUCGAUAGCAUUGUUAACGGUGGUGAUGGUGGGAAAGGGCCUGUCAUAGCUGCAACCGCCGCGGUGGCGGUUGCUCAAGUUGAGGAGAAGGCAAUUGUUGUGCAGCCUCCACUUGUAGCUGAAACCAGUGAGGCUGCUGCUGUAAUCCCCAAGGCCAAGGAAGGCCCGAACCGGUGCGCAACCUGUAGGAAGCGGGUUGGCCUGACGGGAUUCAACUGCCGAUGCGGUAACAUGUACUGUGCGGUGCACCGUUACUCCGACAAACAUGAAUGCCACUUUGACUAUCGGACUGCAGCUAGGGAUGCGAUUGCCAAGGCCAAUCCUGUGGUGAAGGCGGAGAAGCUCGACAAGAUCUGAGAGGGGCAAUGGGGAGGGGGAUGGGUUGUGAUCUGCAAGAUUCAAUCAUGCAUCUUUGCUGCUUUAUCAUUGAACUUCCCAUUCUUGUUUGCUGCCACAUCCCUGAGUUGUUCAACACUGAGAU
RNAcentral lists this long non-coding RNA (19275 nucleotides) under Setaria viridis. Its description in RNAcentral is "long non-coding RNA (SVIR_LNC000090)". Lineage: Eukaryota; Viridiplantae; Streptophyta; Magnoliopsida; Poales; Poaceae. The record is from RNAcentral.